Long non-coding RNA from Drosophila biarmipes, 1901 nucleotides. RefSeq lists it as uncharacterized. The transcript is spliced from 3 exons. Lineage: Eukaryota; Metazoa; Arthropoda; Insecta; Diptera; Drosophilidae. The record is from RefSeq and is a predicted model, not a curated record.
AAUUCGUAAACAUUUUUCGGUUCUAUAUGGUUUAUAAACAACUCAUUAAGGAAAAGCCAAAUUCUCAGACAUAUUUUUGAAUUUGUCAUGACACCCACUCGUCUCAAAUUUAGCACACAGUUUCUCUAUUCUAAACCCAUAUAAAUGAACUUUAAACAUGGUUAUAUGAAUUUCAUUACGCAUUUCUGAAUAAAUUACCUGCUUCACCCAGUUUCCAAUUUGUGAGACACUAACCUAAGCCAUUAAAAUGUGAAAAGCUGAAUAAGCUUAAAAACAAAUUGCUGUUUGUUGACAGAUUCCAUACUACGCAAGCAGGAGAUCACGUUGAAGAUGAUGACGAUGGUGAUUAUGAUGACUAGCGCGCUAUAUGUCCGGGGAACUGAUUAGGCAUCGCGUGUCCUAUGUGCGGCAAUAAGUUUUGGGUCUACUUCAAGAAUUAUAGCUUUUAAUAAAUAUUUAUAUAAAACAAAUAGCCCUCUGAGGUGACAUGUUGCCGGAACGUGCAAGGGUUCAAUCUUGGUUCAAGAUCAGAUCAUUUUUUGCACUCUACAAAGUAGCCAGGGCGACACUUUUUUCAGCUUGAAAAAAUUCCAGGCUGAUAGUGAAAUUCGAAAUUAAUCGAAAAUUGCGAAAAGCAAAACAUUAUAAACAAACGAACAUAAGAAGUCUUUCUUUAUGCCGCUAGAGAGAAUUGUAAGAAAAUAAAAUCUCAUUAUUAAAAGUCCAUUGGCACACCAAAUGUUUUGCUAAUGAAAGGCAUAAAUAUUUAUAUAUAUAUUGGAAUACCGUAUAUGAAAAGAUACAGAACCAAAUCGGCAUACGUCCCGAAUGCACAGCAGACACCAGUUGGCAACUAAUGAGGGCUCUGACUGGAAUCGAAGGGGUAAGGGAUCGGGAGCGGCACCGGGGAAAAAGUCUGGGAUUCGGCUUUUAAGCCUGAUUGACAUGCAUACACUUCAUCACAGUGGCGUGACGUUAGAUGAAAUGUGAUCAAUGGAUCGAUGAAUGAAUAAGUGAAAUAGGCAAAGAACUACUUGAAAUUUUGGUCGGCUUUCAUCUCGUUGAGACUGCAAAUUUUACGGCGAUCGUGACGAUGUUCGUUGGGUGGAGAUGGAUGCUUUAAAAGUUUAGGGGAUCAGAAUUUAACGAACCGCGAAGCACAGUGGGAUAAUGGCCAAAAUUAUUAACUAUUUAUCUAUAUUUAACCCAGCACAAUGCGAUUUGUGGGCUCUUUGCAUAACCACCUAUCCACCUACCCCUCCGAGAACUAUUAUUAUGCGUCACUUUCUUUCCAUUCAAAUCGAAUAAAACAAUAUGGGAACUACAUAAACCAGUCGCCGGAAACAGCGAAAAAAGACUAUCAAAAAAUAUGAGGAAAGGAGCUUAAUAUGCAAGACAGGCACGCAUGACAAUAAUUCAUAAUAAACCAAAUUUUCCUAUAGCGAAAGGUGUGUUCCGAAAGGAAUAUGAGUACGAAGCCGAUUUGCAUAUGAAUAUCAGUAUGCUUUUGGUAAUUUCAUUGUAUUUCGCAGCCGGAAAGUUGAAUAAACUGCAAGAAUAAAUUGUAAAGUAAAGAUGAUGAACCAUCCGAAGAGUCCCAGAUCACGAAGGUGGUUGCACCCACAUUUAACCUUCAGUCGAUGACAGCUGUCAAUGGCCCAACCUUCAGAGAUUAUUGCUGGAAAAGCGAGGAAAAACAAUACUGGAUCACACAGCUGCUGCAACUGGUGGCUUUAUCGACAUGACAUUAUAGGCAAACUUGACCAAUAUUCUUUAUCGUUCACGGAAAGAAACUACAAGAAAAAAUAAAUAUGAUUCAUGCAAAUCAUAUAUUGAAUUUUAGACUCAAUAGAAACCCAUCUAUGCCUUUAUCUAUGGAUAAGUUAUCACUUCUUUUUCGU